CCUACGGGAGGCUGCAGUGAGGAAUAUUGGUCAAUGGGCGCGAGUCUGAACCAGCCAAGUCGCGUGAGGGAUGAAGGUUCUAUGGAUCGUAAACCUCUUUUAUAAGGGAAUAAAGUGUGGGACGUGUCCUAUUUUGUAUGUACCUUAUGAAUAAGGAUCGGCUAACUCCGUGCCAGCAGCCGCGGUAAUACGGAGGAUCCGAGCGUUAUCCGGAUUUAUUGGGUUUAAGGGGUGCGUAGGCGGCCUUUUAAGUCAGCGGUGAAAGUCUGUGGCUCAACCAUAGAAUUGCCGUUGAAACUGGGGGGCUUGAGGAUGUUUGAGGCAGGCGGAAUGCGUGGUGUAGCGGUGAAAGGCUUAGAUAUCACGCAGAACCCCGAUUGCGAAGGCAGCCUGCCAAGCCAUGACUGACGCUGAUGCACGAAAGCGUGGGGAUCAAACAGGAUUAGAUACCCUGGUAGUC
This 460-nucleotide ribosomal RNA is filed under the name uncultured bacterium. RNAcentral describes it as "partial 16S ribosomal RNA". It matches the Rfam family "Bacterial small subunit ribosomal RNA", at positions 338 to 795 of the family's 1533-position model. The record is from RNAcentral.